RNAcentral lists this ribosomal RNA (234 nucleotides) under uncultured bacterium. Its description in RNAcentral is "partial 16S ribosomal RNA". It matches the Rfam family "Bacterial small subunit ribosomal RNA", at positions 118 to 347 of the family's 1533-position model. The record is from RNAcentral.
UGAGGAACAUGACCUUCGGCGGGGGAUAGCCGGCCCAACGGCCGGGUAAUACCGCGUACGACCACAUGGGGACAUCCCUGAGUGGUGAAAGCAGCAAUGCGCCGAUGGAGUGCCUCGCGGCCUAUCAGCUAGUUGGUGAGGUAACGGCUCACCAAGGCGACGACGGGUANCUGGUCUGAGAGGAUGGCCAGCCACAUUGGGACUGAGACACGGCCCAGACCUCUACCGGGGAGG